This 2207-nucleotide unclassified non-coding RNA is filed under the name Melitaea cinxia (Glanville fritillary). RNAcentral describes it as "misc RNA ENSMCXG00005011043.1". The record is from RNAcentral. Lineage: Eukaryota; Metazoa; Arthropoda; Insecta; Lepidoptera; Nymphalidae.
AUUACAAUUAAUAUUAUCAGAAACAAUGGAAGAGGCAGAGGAAAAAUUAAUAAGAUUAAAAAGAACCCCUAUUCUUCUCUACCAAUAAUGAGUAGUCUGGUAAAGCAAAAGCGGCUGCUGUUGAAAAACUUUCAAAUUAAAAGCAUUAGCAAAGGAUUGAUUAAAAAUAGAUAAUAUAUUUAGCCAAAUAGCUUUAGAGUUAACUGACGAACCCACUGAAAUUGCAGAACCUAAGAAAUAAAAGCCAUAAAAAUGUAACCAAAAAAUUGUGAAGAAACAAGCCUAAAAACAUAGUCUCGAAUGGUCAUCUACAUCAAUAGUGUCUUUGAUAUCUUCAUCACCACCGUCAUUGUUAUGUAAACCUACGAAAAUAAAUAAUGAAACUAAAAAAAACGUAUUAAUGACAGUACUAACUACAUAGUUGGCUCAAAAAAAAGGAAAAAAAUUAGUUCAUAAUCUACACCAUACUACCUUGAUCAUCUUCAUCAUCACCAUCAACUAAACGUAGAAAAAUAAGAAAAAUCAACUCAAAUUUGAAGGACAUAAAUAUGCGUAUGGAAAUAGCACAUGAAGACAGUACAUUAGCAACAAUUGCUGAUAAUCCCUUUUCAUCAUCAUCAUAAAUCUGAAACAGAAGCUGAAAUGAAUAUAUUAGCAGCUAGAUCAUCAUCAACAAAAAAUACUGUAUCCAGUGAUUCUUUGCUGGAAUGUAUCAAACAUAAUUAUAACGGUCUAUCAAAACAAUUAGCAAAUUUAAAAGGCCAUAUCUGCUGACGUUCCCAAAUCCUAUCUGAAAUAAAAAAAUAACAGUACUCAGCUGUUAGAUUUCAGUUUAUUAACAGAUCCUGAAGGAAAUCCAGUGGUCCAAAAAUUAGAAUUUCCGCUAUCAACAAUGGAAGAUAUUAUUUUGAUAAAUUCAAUGAAAAAUUAAAAGGCCAAAAAUAUAAAAAUAAAAUGAAUAAACGUAUAUACUUUUCUCUUGAUGGAAAAAAUACUUUUACCCGUAAUAUAGGAAAUAUUACUCGUGUUUAUAUAACAAGAGAUGACAUAUGUAGCAGUUAAAGCAACUUCAAAAAAAAGUUUUCAAAGAUACGACUUUUUCACUUCUAUAAAAAGUAUGUUAAUCAUUAUAUAGUGCAGAAUUACUAUCAUUGAUACCUAAUUAAUUAUUUCUUAAUUAUGUGUUAUUAUUUUAUACCCAAUAAUAAUUAUUUUUUACUAUUACUAAUUUAAUUACGUACAUGAUUAAUUUAAAUUUUGAUUCGAAAAGAAUCAAGAAAGUAUUUUCGAUAAUAAAUUCCAUCAAGCAUUGUCUGUAGUAUUAAAUAAUGCUAAUAUAAUAAUAAAGAUUGGGAUGGGUACAGGGUAUCCAGGAUCAAAAACUACCAUCUAAUGAAGAUAAAUAAAAACAACUAUUUUUUUUUGCUGUGUAAAAUAUUUUGCCAAGCAAACAAAAAGAAAAAUUAAUUCAUAAUAUUUAAUAACAAUCAUUAUUAUUUUUAACUAUAACAUAAAAAUAAUUGAUAUUUAAAGUAAAAACUAAAAUAAAUAAUACAUUUGAAAAAAUAAAUGGAAAUAAAUAUGUUUUUUUUUUCAAUCGGAUAAGUUUUAUUUCUGUUUAAGUGCACAAUAAAGUGUAUUGUUAUGUUAUGUUAAGUUAAAUAUAUAUAAUAUGUUAUUUUAAAUAUACAUAGUAUGUUAAGUAACAUAAUAUCAUUUUUUUUUUUUUUUUUGACGUGACGUCGAAAAAUCGAUUAACGCCGGCUUCGUUACGAUCAUAUGUAUGCUUGUGCCGCAUCUAUCUGAUCGGCCUAUGCAUCCGAGGAGAUGUUUUGUUAUGACGGUUGUCACGUUUAACUAUCGUCUGUAAACCAACUUUGCAGACAACCAAGUUUUUUAAUAAACAAUUUUGUCAAGACUGUACAUUCGUGUUUUAUUUAAAAGGACCGCACUUUUUUUUUUUUGAUAUCGCAGGGUAACCCAUUUACGGGUGAUAUCCAGGAUGCCAGGGUAGGCAUUCCUAGACCGUAUGUCGGCUUAGUACUUGGGGGUGCACUACCGACCGAAACCCCUGCGGGGGAGCCUUCAGCCGCUUUAAUUGGAGGGUCCCAGAUCUGCAGGCAACAGGAUCCCUCCAGCGACAGGCUGGCCUCGGCGAAAAGACCAGACUUCUCCUCCAUGGGACUGUCCGGCUCACCUCUGAACAA